GGAUGUGAGGGCGAUCUGGCUGCGACAUCUGUCACCCCAUUGAUCGCCAGGGUUGAUUCGGCUGAUCUGGCUGGCUAGGCUGGUGUCCCCUUUCUCCCUCAACGCUCCAUGUGCGUCCCUCCUGAAGCUGCGCGCUCGGUCGAAGAGGACGACCACCCCCGAUAGAGGAGGACUGUUCCUCGGUCAAGGGUAUACGAGUAGCGGCGCUCCCCUGCUAGAACCUCCAAACAAGCUCUUGAGAAAUCAAAAGUAUAAAUAAAUAACAAAAUAUACAAUCGGUAUU
RNAcentral lists this small nuclear RNA (283 nucleotides) under Chinchilla lanigera (long-tailed chinchilla). RNAcentral's name for it is "7SK RNA (ENSCLAG00000022127.1)". It matches the Rfam family "7SK RNA". From Rfam's summary of the family: 7SK was discovered as an abundant small nuclear RNA in the mid-70s but a possible function has only recently been suggested. Two independent studies have found that 7SK RNA binds the CDK9/cyclin T complex (known as elongation factor P-TEFb). The record is from RNAcentral. Lineage: Eukaryota; Metazoa; Chordata; Mammalia; Rodentia; Chinchillidae.